CCGCCCGAGGUCUCUGGGAAAGGUGUGAGCCCGACCCUCCUCCCUACCCACCCGGUUAACCCUAUCAGCGACGACGGCCUGCCGAGGACCAAAGGAGAAGAAAGGAGCCUUCCGCGUGUUUUAAUUGGGUUACUAUCCACAACCAAACGCCACAGAAGCUCAGACAAGAAACUAACCUGGGGAGAGCAGCUUCCUGGAACCCAGAGGCAGGCAUUUGGGAGAGUCCCAGCCCUAGUAAUUGUCAACAGGAGAAGCAGAAGAUGGUACAGCUGAUGGCAUCAAUCUCAGAGGAGUAGCUACAUUUAGACUGGUGGCCACGGAUGGCAGGUCUGACUGUCCUGGAGGUGAUGCUGAGGUGCCAAUUUGUGUUGGAGGCUCAAUGAGAUUGCAGAUUUAGCAGAUUAGUUUUUUCUCGGUGUUCAAAUGGUAAGGAAAUUGAGGCUCAAAGAUGUUAAUAUGUUCAAGGACUGCUGUCAAUUAAGUGGAAAAGCAAGUACUACAAACCAGAUAUGGGGAAUUCCCUGGCGGUUCAGUGAUUAGGACUCAGUGCUUUAA
Molecule: long non-coding RNA, 555 nt
Organism: Bubalus bubalis (water buffalo)
Lineage: Eukaryota; Metazoa; Chordata; Mammalia; Artiodactyla; Bovidae
Exons: 4
Source: RefSeq, a predicted model, not a curated record